This 73-nucleotide transfer RNA is filed under the name Camponotus floridanus (Florida carpenter ant). It matches the Rfam family "tRNA". From Rfam's summary of the family: Transfer RNA (tRNA) molecules are approximately 80 nucleotides in length. Lineage: Eukaryota; Metazoa; Arthropoda; Insecta; Hymenoptera; Formicidae. The record is from Rfam by way of RNAcentral.
GUCUGGAUAGUUCAGUGGUUUAGAACAGUUGCCCGAAAAGUGAAAAACUCGGGUUCGAUUCCCGGUCCAGCCA